UACAGAGGUCUCAAGCGUUGUUCGGAUUCAUUGGGCGUAAAGGGUGCGUAGGCGGCGCGGUAAGUCGGGUGUGAAAUCUCGGGGCUUAACUCCGAAACUGCAUUCGAUACUGCCGUGCUUGAGGACUGGAGAGGAGACUGGAAUUUACGGUGUAGCGGUGAAAUGCGUAGAUAUCGUAAGGAAGACCAGUGGCGAAGGCGGGUCUCUGGACAGUUCCUGACGCUGAGGCACGAA
Molecule: ribosomal RNA, 234 nt
Filed under: uncultured bacterium
Lineage: Bacteria
Description: partial 16S ribosomal RNA
Rfam family: Bacterial small subunit ribosomal RNA
Source: RNAcentral